ACGGGGGCGGGACCGGGCGGCCUGAGACCUGUUGAUCGCAGGUAUCACCCGCCUGACCGGCUCUCUUGGGACUGAGACGACUGCGCAUGCUCGCUGGCGGCUCUGGGCCAGUAGCCAAGCGGCGGUGACGAACCGGCUCCUCGGUUGCGGUUGUUGCGGUUGCAGCGAUGGCGAUGUGAGUGGGCCCCGGGCGGAAUGGUGCUGACCCGGGUAGGGACGUCUUCUUCCAGCUGGACACCUAGCUCUUCCAUCCAACAGAAGAGAGAAGAGGUGGAGACGGUUGAGAGGUAAGCCCCUCUCCGCUCCGGGUCCUGUCGCUCCCGACACUCACGACCCCUCCCUCGGUCCCUCUUUCCCAGGGGCCAGGCAGGAAGCGGCCUCCUUCUCUUCGUCCCCCCCUCGCCCGCUCCGGCCUCUCUACGGGCUGCUCGCUGUCGGACGCAGCCCCGGGCCGGGUGAAGGUCGGUGGGGACGGCGGUUCUGGGCACUCUCCGGCAAGCCAAGGGGCCGCAGCGCUUAGCUCUGCGGGCACUCCCUGUCGCCCUGCCCCUGCCUUACGUUCCUCUGCCGGUUCUUCCUGAACCUCACGCCUCCUGUGCCCCAGCCUUCUCCUGCCCUUCGCCCCCGGCUCCAUCUUCACCUGUCUAUCUCGCCUUUAUCCCCCAUUCAUGGUUCUUCUCUUUCAUCCCGUGCCCACUUGCCUUUUCGCUCCGGUGGUGUUUG
Molecule: long non-coding RNA, 723 nt
Filed under: Marmota monax (woodchuck)
Lineage: Eukaryota; Metazoa; Chordata; Mammalia; Rodentia; Sciuridae
Source: RNAcentral